AUGCAUCCCAUUCACCUAAAAAAAAAAACGCUGCCCGCAACUGCAGUCCGUCGGAAAUCUCUGCCGCCGCCGCCACCGCCGUCUGCCGUCGCCGUCGCCUGCGCCAUGCUCCGCCUCAGGAAGUGCGUCGUUUCCUGUAUCCUCUCUUCUCCCUCCACCUCCGCCAUCUCCCCACUUCGCCGCCUGCUCUCCGCCGCCGCGUCGCCCCCCAUUUCCCCUAACCCUAGUAGCUUCGCCGUGGAAGACUACCUCGUCGGCACCUGCGGCCUCAGCCGACCCCAAGCCCUCAAGGCCUCCAAGAAGCUCUCCCACCUCAACUCCCCCGCAAACCCCGACGCCGUCCUCGCCUUCCUCGCCGGCCUCGGCCUCUCCGGCGCCGAUGCCGCCGCCGUCGUCGCCAAAGAUCCGCAGUUCCUCGGCGCCAAAGUGGACAAAACCCUGGCCCCCGUCGUCGCCGGGCUAACCGGCCUCGGCCUGUCUAGUCCUGAGAUCGCUCGCAUCGUCUCGCUCACCCCCGACGGCUUCCGCCGUAGAUCCAUACUCUCCAGGCUGCUCAAGCGCUCAUCCUGCCUGUUGUUUUCGGACCUCGACAAGGUUGUCAAGCCCAAUGUUGUGUUUCUGAGGGAGUGCGGGCUAGGUGAUUGUGAUAUUGCCAAGCUGUGUAUCCAUGGGCCGAGGAUGCUCACCACCAACCUGGAGCGCGUCCGAGCGAUGGUGACAUGCGCCGAAGGUAUAGGCGUGCCCCGUGGCUCUGCGAUGUUUAGAAAAGCGCUACAUGCUGUCGCAUUCCAAAGCAAGGAGAAGAUUGCCGCCAAAGUGGACUACUUGAAGAAUACAUUCAGGUGGUCUGAUGCCGAAGCGAGCAUUGCUGUGCGCAAGUAUCCGGGUCUGCUCAGGAAGUCAAAGGAAUCUCUGAAGCACAGGUCCGAGUUCUUGUUCUCUGAGGUGGGGCUGGAACCCGCGUACAUUGCUCAUCGACCGGAAAUACUUUCUUAUAGCAUGGAGGGCCGACUCAGACCUCGGUACUAUGUUAUCAAGUUUCUCAAGCAAAGUGGACUGCUAGAUCGUGACUUGAGCUUAUAUUCUGCGGUCAAGAUGACUGACAAGGUAUUUGUGGAGAAGCUCAUAUGCCCUCACAAGGAAGCCGCAGCACACCUCGCUGAAGAUUAUGCAGCAGCUUGCAAAGGGGAAGUGCCAACUAAUUUCAGAUUUACAUGA
Molecule: ribosomal RNA, 1218 nt
Filed under: Triticum aestivum (bread wheat)
Lineage: Eukaryota; Viridiplantae; Streptophyta; Magnoliopsida; Poales; Poaceae
Description: partial small subunit ribosomal RNA
Source: RNAcentral